This 824-nucleotide ribosomal RNA is filed under the name Fusarium solani. RNAcentral describes it as "partial large subunit ribosomal RNA". It matches the Rfam family "Eukaryotic large subunit ribosomal RNA", at positions 74 to 928 of the family's 3401-position model. The record is from RNAcentral. Lineage: Eukaryota; Fungi; Ascomycota; Sordariomycetes; Hypocreales; Nectriaceae.
AUUGCCCCAGUAACGGCGAGUGAAGCGGCAACAGCUCAAAUUUGAAAUCUGGCUCUCGGGCCCGAGUUGUAAUUUGUAGAGGAUGCUUUUGGUGAGGUGCCUUCCGAGUUCCCUGGAACGGGACGCCAUAGAGGGUGAGAGCCCCGUCUGGUUGGACACCGAUCCUCUGUAAAGCUCCUUCGACGAGUCGAGUAGUUUGGGAAUGCUGCUCUAAAUGGGAGGUAUAUGUCUUCUAAAGCUAAAUACCGGCCAGAGACCGAUAGCGCACAAGUAGAGUGAUCGAAAGAUGAAAAGAACUUUGAAAAGAGAGUUAAACAGUACGUGAAAUUGUUGAAAGGGAAGCGCUUGUGACCAGACUUGGGCUUGGUUGAUCAUCCGGGGUUCUCCCCGGUGCACUCUUCCGGCUCAGGCCAGCAUCAGUUCGCCCUGGGGGAUAAAGGCUUCGGGAAUGUGGCUCUCUCCGGGGAGUGUUAUAGCCCGCUGCGUAAUACCCUGUGGCGGACUGAGGUUCGCGCAUUCGCAAGGAUGCUGGCGUAAUGGUCAUCAGUGACCCGUCUUGAAACACGGACCAAGGAGUCGUCUUCGUAUGCGAGUGUUCGGGUGUCAAACCCCUACGCGAAAUGAAAGUGAACGCAGGUGAGAGCUUCGGCGCAUCAUCGACCGAUCCUGAUGUUAUCGGAUGGAUUUGAGUAAGAGCAUACGGGGCCGGACCCGAAAGAAGGUGAACUAUGCCUGUGUAGGGUGAAGCCAGAGGAAACUCUGGUGGAGGCUCGCAGCGGUUCUGACGUGCAAAUCGAUCGUCAAACAUGGGCAUGGGGGCGAAA